Molecule: ribosomal RNA, 587 nt
Filed under: Pezizomycetes sp. genotype 30
Lineage: Eukaryota; Fungi; Ascomycota; Pezizomycetes
Description: eukaryotic LSU rRNA
Rfam family: Eukaryotic large subunit ribosomal RNA
Source: RNAcentral
UCAGGUAGGGAUACCCGCUGAACUUAAGCAUAUCAAUAAGCGGAGGAAAAGAAACCAACAGGGAUUGCCUUAGUAACUGCGAGUGAAGCGGCAAAAGCUCAAAUUUGAAAUCUGGGGCCUCACAGCCUCCGAAUUGUAAUUUCACGAUACGUUUUCGACUGAAGGCUCUGCUUUAAGUUCCUUGGAACAGGACGUCACAGAGGGUGAGAAUCCCGUGAUAGGUGGAGCCUGAUGCAUAUGAUACGUAUUCAACGAGUCGAGUUGUUUGGGAAUGCAGCUCAAAAUGGGAGGUAAAUUUCUUCUAAAGCUAAAUAUUGGCGAGAGACCGAUAGCGCACAAGUAGAGUGAUCGAAAGAUGAAAAGCACUUUGAAAAGAGAGUUAAAAAGUACGUGAAAUUGUUGAAAGGGAAGCGCUUGAGACCAGACUCAAUCUGUAGUGAUCAAUUUGGCUUCUGUCAGAUGCACUUGCUACUUAUUGGGACAGCAUCGGUUUUGGCGGUGGGAUAAAGUCUUGAGGAAUGUAGCUAUCUUCGGGUAGUGUUAUAGCCUCUUGAGUAAUGCCACCAGCUGGGACCGAGGACCGCGCC